Molecule: long non-coding RNA, 316 nt
Filed under: Carica papaya (papaya)
Lineage: Eukaryota; Viridiplantae; Streptophyta; Magnoliopsida; Brassicales; Caricaceae
Description: long non-coding RNA (CPAP_LNC010129)
Source: RNAcentral
GCCAAAAAAUUCACGGGACAAAGUAAUACGGUAUGCCACUAUGACUACGUGCUCCAAAAUCUCAAAAAGCCUAACAAAAUAAGGACUCAACUUUCCUUUCUUUCUUUAUCUCAUUUUUUCUUUGUAUGGAAAGAUUUUGAGGAAAACAUGAUCACUAACAACAAAUUCCAAAGCUCUUAUUCUAUUAUCAGUAUAACUCUUAUGAUGGCUCUGAGCAAUAAUGAGGUUCUUAUGGAUGACAACAACUUUGUCAAUAGUCUCCUGGAUUGUAAUCCAUUCCAGGGAGACACUUAUUCCUAAUUUUAUUCCAACAAGU